RNAcentral lists this small RNA (858 nucleotides) under Pongo abelii (Sumatran orangutan). RNAcentral's name for it is "processed transcript". The record is from RNAcentral. Lineage: Eukaryota; Metazoa; Chordata; Mammalia; Primates; Hominidae.
AAGGCCACGUCGCUAUGCCUGUGUUUCAGUCUACCUGGAUUAAACGUUUGCUUCUCUUCGUCUACCUUGAUUAAACGUGCACUUCGCAGUCCUCGGUUCUCCAUACCCGUGACCUGGGGAUCGCUACGGACCUUAAAAUACCCGCGACAGCCUCUUCGUCCCAAAGUCAAGAACAGAGCCAGGUGGUUCUUCUCUUCUAAAGACAUUUCCAUGGGCCAGUUUCACCGCAAGCUUCCCAGAGAGCAUAUGUUCUGCCGUACGGACACCGAACUUCCCCUAAGAUGGCCGCCCCCACGGUUCUCUCACCUAACCGCUCUGGCUCGGUUACCUGCAACGCACCGCUCGCUUAUUUUUCUAGUCCCGCUUGCUUCAGUUUUUAUACGGCUUCUAAAACGCUUCGCAUUUACAAUAGUGUUUGAUGUGCCCAGAGGUGACUUUAAUUUUCCAUUGAGCUGAGACGUCACAGCCAUCAUGACCGCUAAGAAGGGAUGCCGCGCCUUUGCGGUAAUAAUGGGUUCUGGCCUUUGAGAAGUUUGCGCCGUUUGCUAUCCCCUGCAAGGAGAAGACCAACUUAUUUCUGUUCCCUGUCUGUUCAGAGGACUUUACCCCCACGCCCUAUCUGCCUGUGUGAACUCAAGCCUCUGUUAAGCUCUCCAUUUUCUGCCAGGGCUGAGGUGUCUGGAAAUCGGACAGUUAAAGAGGCCUCUGUCCACCGCGUCUGGCAGCCGCUGUGCCUUCUGUACGUCACGUACUCAAAGAUGGCCGCCCCCGGAGCGGCGAGGCGACGCAGGCUCGGACGCGUCUCCUCCUGAGGAAAAGCCGGAAGGCCGCAUUCCGCUCUCCAUGGAAACGCGGCUG